GUGGGUGUAGCUCAGCUGGUAGAGCGCUGGGUUGUGGUCCCGGAGGUCGCGGGUUCGAGUCCCGUCACUCACCCCA
Molecule: transfer RNA, 76 nt
Filed under: Actinomycetota bacterium
Lineage: Bacteria; Bacillati; Actinomycetota
Description: tRNA-His
Rfam family: tRNA
About the family: Transfer RNA (tRNA) molecules are approximately 80 nucleotides in length. Their secondary structure includes four short double-helical elements and three loops (D, anti-codon, and T loops).
Source: RNAcentral